GCAGAUGUGCUUCUGCUCCAUGAAUGCAAUACAGAAUAUGACUGGAAACAGGGGGAGCCUCCUCACGCUAGAGAGAGAAGAGAAGGCCCUGAUUUCACUGCAGAUCGUUCAUGUGGCUUAAAUAAUUUUGCUGAGUGCCCAGGGUCCUGGUUCGAUUCUAUGAUGGGAGACGAGAAAGAAGCAAGCUUCAGGGAAGUCCUUCCUUCUCCGAUGCAUUGAAGCCUCAGGACAGGCCCCAGAGACGCUCUCCCAGGGACUGGAGACAAGCCUGAUGAGUGACCUGCGCUCUGGGACUGCACUGCCAGCUGACACCAAACUCUUCUGGGAAUGCCUAUUUAGUUAGAGAAAGAAGACAGGAAAAGAAGGACCAGAAGCCUGAUUCAGUACGACCGCUGCCGUGACAUGCUGCCACAUCACUUUCCCUGGGCACGACGGAUGUCCUAGCAGCAUGAGCAGCAAUUUGUAUCAGCUCUGGCAAGCAUCACAGAUGUUCUUCAAGGGAAUUGAGAGCUUUCUGGGGAAGGAUCAAUGUACUGUAGCAAUUGCUCAUAAGUGUGAUGCACUGUGUUAGGCUUCCUCCCCUAGCCACGAUCUGACUGCUGCUUUUGAUUAUUUCUUGCUGUAAAGAGGCGGGUUUUUUGCAGAAAUAAAGCAUCGGCUUCAGUUCAGCACUAAUUGCCCAUUACAGUCAAUUGUGACCUCUUAUAGUUGCCUGCCAGGAACAUCAUCCCUCAAACACCACCUCCUGCUGUUCAGGAAACAUAAAUGAGAGUUUUCAGAGCAGGCCUCAGCAGCAGAGGAUUUAAGUGCAACAUGUUAAUUAAAUAUCAGUGGAUAGCCCUGCUAAGGCUCUUUAAAAUACAAGUUCCAAAUCAUAAACUCUGCUGCUAAAAAUACAACUCAAGUUUCUAAAGUAAUAGACCCGCAAUUAGGUCUCAUUUCAAUAAGCGCUUGAAGAGAAUAUUCAAGUUCCUGAAUUGUUUUUAAUGAGCAAUGCAGCACAAUGGCAUGUAAUGGCCCUUUCUCAUAUUAAAUUAUUGUUCCAUAGGUUAUCAAUUACUGUUGAACUGAGGUGGUUUUAUCAAGUGUCUGGUCUGAACUGAAAUGCACAAAAUUCCUAGCACGUAAGCCCAUUAACCAAUUCAAGAAAUGGCUUGUCACUAGCUGGAGGUUGCUUGCCUACCUGUAUGGAUGUGGGUAUGCCUUCCAGCUGUCUGACAGUGCUUGCUGUGAACCCAGUUGAAAAAUGAAGGGUUUGCUGCAGAAAAUCUCAGCAGGACUGAGCAGCACUUUCCCCGACAUUUCAGAUGUUUUUAUAACACAAAAGGGUGUUUUCAGUUUUACCCUUUGGAAAAGUUUCUCGUCUUCAUUUUUCAGCAGCCAGAAUGACUUUUUUUUUCUUUUGGUAAAAAGUUUCAGUUAGGAGGCAGGCACUUUUUAACCAAGAAAAAAAAAUAGCCGGUGGCUUUUACCCAAGGCCUCUGUUGAACCUGAUGCUGUGUGCAAUGCAGUCCACUGGUAAUGGAGCAGAGCAGUAGCAUAGCACAAUUCAUCAGCAAAGUGCUUCAUGAAUGUUUAGAGUCUAACUGAAGAUCAAAGACAGGAAAAGAUGCCAUUUGACUUCACUGGGGUUUGAAUCAGGCCUUGGACACUGUAUUCUUAGCAGGUCCCUUUGGGGUAGGUAAACGUUACUUUCCUCAUCUAUGAAAUGGGAUGCAUAGUGAAUGUGGGGUCUUCGCAUAACUUGGUUGCAAUUUGCAUCUCUGUGGUAUAAUGGAUGUGGGGGUCUUCACAUAGCUUGGUUGCAUCUCUGUGGUUAACCAUGACCCAGAACCAUUGCUCACCCAUCAGUCAUCUCCCUCGGGCUAGCAGGGUUAGCUAGAGUAGGAUGGACUCAUGCAUACCUCAUGAACAGAGAUACUCUGCCACACUGCUGGGGUAGGGGCAUGCUACCAAGCGGGCAGCAGGCCUGUAC
Gavialis gangeticus (Gharial) is the source of this 1975-nucleotide long non-coding RNA. RefSeq lists it as uncharacterized. The transcript has 3 exons. The record is from RefSeq and is a predicted model, not a curated record. NCBI's taxonomy places the organism in Eukaryota, Metazoa, Chordata, Crocodylia, Gavialidae.